GGCUCGGUAUAACAGCUGUUGUUUACUAGACCAUAGUUUCUUACUUGGAUAACUGUGGCAAUUCUAGAGCUAAUACAUGCACGAAAGCUCUGACCCUCGAGGAACGAGCGCAUUUAUUAGACCAAAACCAAUCGAGUACUUCGGUACUUGUGUUUUGGUGACUCUGAAUAACUUAGUUGAUCGCACAGUCGUAGUACUGGCGACGUAUCUUUCAAAUGUCUGCCUUAUCAACUUUCGAUGGUAGGUUAUACGCCUACCAUGGUUAUAACGGGUAACGGAGAAUUAGGGUUCGACUCCGGAGAGGGAGCCUGAGAAACGGCUACCACAUCCAAGGAAGGCAGCAGGCGCGCAAAUUACCCAAUCUCAGAACGAGGAGGUAGUGACGAAAAAUAACAAAACAGUCCACUUUGUGGUCUGUUAUCGGAAUGGGUACAAUUUAAAUCUUUUAACGAGGAUCUAUUAGAGGGCAAGUCUGGUGCCAGCAGCCGCGGUAAUUCCAGCUCUAAUAGCGUAUAUUAAAGUUGUUGUGGUUAAAACGCCCGUAGUUGGUUCUUCGGUCUUGAAGCUCGGUAGCUCGUAUGGGCUUAACUGAGUCUUCCGGCCUAUAUUUCUUGUUUUCUCCCGAUGCUCUUUAUUGAGUGUCUCGAGUUACUAGAACGUUUACUUUGAAAAAAUUAGAGUGCUAAAAGCAGGCUAUACGCUUGAAUAAAGUGCAUGGAAUAAUGGAAUAGGACUUUAGUUUUAUUUUGUUGGUUUUCGAAAUUAAAGUAAUGAUUAAGAGGAACAGACGGGGGCAUUCGUAUUGUUGCGUUAGAGGUGAAAUUCUUGGAUCGCAGCAAGACGAAC
This 846-nucleotide ribosomal RNA is filed under the name Mylonchulus sigmaturus. RNAcentral's name for it is "SSU rRNA". It matches the Rfam family "Eukaryotic small subunit ribosomal RNA", at positions 95 to 940 of the family's 1831-position model. Lineage: Eukaryota; Metazoa; Nematoda; Enoplea; Mononchida; Mylonchulidae. The record is from RNAcentral. RNAcentral also lists the same sequence under 1 other name.